Molecule: ribosomal RNA, 18 nt
Filed under: Bradyrhizobium elkanii
Lineage: Bacteria; Pseudomonadati; Pseudomonadota; Alphaproteobacteria; Hyphomicrobiales; Nitrobacteraceae
Also listed under: 1 other name
Description: partial 16S ribosomal RNA
Source: RNAcentral
UGUCGUACAAGGUAGCCG